GACGAACGCUGGCGGCGUGCCUAAUACAUGCAAGUCGAGCGGACGAAUCGAAAGCUUGCUUUUGAUUCGUUAGCGGCGGACGGGUGAGUAACACGUGGGCAACCUGCCCUGUAGACGGGGAUAACACCGAGAAAUCGGUGCUAAUACCGGAUAACACGAAAUGUCGCAUGACGUUUCGUUGAAAGACGGCGCAAGCUGCCGCUACAGGAUGGGCCCGCGGCGCAUUAGCUAGUUGGUGAGGGAACGGCUCACCAAGGCGACGAUACGUAGCCGACCUGAGAGGGUGAUCGGCCACACUGGGACUGAGACACGGCCCAGACUCCUACGGGAGGCAGCAGUAGGGAAUCUUCCGCAAUGGACGAAAGUCUGACGGAGCAACGCCGCGUGAGCGAAGAAGGCCUUCGGGUCGUAAAGCUCUGUUGUUAGGGAAGAACAAGUAACGCAGUAACUGGCGUUACCGUGACGGUACCUAACGAGAAAGCCACGGCUAACUACGUG
Molecule: ribosomal RNA, 498 nt
Filed under: uncultured bacterium
Lineage: Bacteria
Description: partial 16S ribosomal RNA
Rfam family: Bacterial small subunit ribosomal RNA
Source: RNAcentral